GGCGGACGGGUGAGUAACGCGUGGGAAUCUGCCCUUGAGUGGGGGACAACGUUCGGAAACGAACGCUAAUACCGCAUAAUGUCUACGGACCAAAGUUGCCUUCGGGUGACGCUUGAGGAUGAGCCCGCGUUGGAUUAGCUAGUAGGUGAGGUAAAGGCUCACCUAGGCGACGAUCCAUAGCUGGUCUGAGAGGAUGAUCAGCCACACUGGGACUGAGACACGGCCCAG
RNAcentral lists this ribosomal RNA (228 nucleotides) under uncultured bacterium. RNAcentral's name for it is "partial 16S ribosomal RNA". It matches the Rfam family "Bacterial small subunit ribosomal RNA", at positions 97 to 334 of the family's 1533-position model. The record is from RNAcentral.